This 468-nucleotide ribosomal RNA is filed under the name uncultured bacterium. RNAcentral's name for it is "partial 16S ribosomal RNA". It matches the Rfam family "Bacterial small subunit ribosomal RNA", at positions 28 to 507 of the family's 1533-position model. The record is from RNAcentral.
GACGAACGCUGGCGGCGUGCUUAAUACAUGCAAGUCGAACGGAAAGGCCCUGCUUUUGCUUCUUUCUUGUUUGGCGAACGGGUGUGUAUCACGUGAGUAACCUCCCCUUGACUUUCUGGUAACUUUACGAAAAACGGGCUCUUACCCGAUAUGAUCUUCUGCUGCAUGUUGUGCAUUGGAAAGUUUCGGCGGUUGGGGAUGUACUCGCGGCUUAUCCGCUUGUUUGUGGGGUAGUGACUUACCAAGGCUUCGAGGGGUAGCCGGCCUGAGAGGGUGACCGGCCACAUUGGGACUGAGAUACGGCACAGACUGCGAAGGGAGGCAGAAGUGGGGAAUAUUGCACAAUGGGCGGAAGCCUGAUGAAGCAACGCCGCGUGCGGGAUAACGGCCUUCGGGGUGUAAACCGAUUUCGCCAGUGACGAAGCGUGAGUGACGGUAAUGGGUAAAGAAGCACCGGCUAACUACGUG